AACGAACGCUGGCGGCAUGCCUAACACAUGCAAGUCGAACGAGACCUUCGGGUCUAGUGGCGCACGGGUGCGUAACGCGUGGGAAUCUGCCCUUGGGUUCGGAAUAACUCAGAGAAAUUUGAGCUAAUACCGGAUGAUGACGUAAGUCCAAAGAUUUAUCGCCCAAGGAUGAGCCCGCGUAAGAUUAGCUUGUUGGUAGGGUAAUGGCCUACCAAGGCGACGAUCUUUAGCUGGUCUGAGAGGAUGAUCAGCCACACUGGGACUGAGACACGGCCCAGACUCCUACGGGAGGCAGCAGUGGGGGAAUAUUGGACAAUGGGCGAAAGACUCGAUCCACGCAAUAGCCGCCGUG
This 352-nucleotide ribosomal RNA is filed under the name uncultured bacterium. RNAcentral's name for it is "bacterial SSU rRNA". It matches the Rfam family "Bacterial small subunit ribosomal RNA", at positions 29 to 403 of the family's 1533-position model. The record is from RNAcentral.